Molecule: ribosomal RNA, 253 nt
Filed under: uncultured bacterium
Lineage: Bacteria
Description: partial 16S ribosomal RNA
Rfam family: Bacterial small subunit ribosomal RNA
Source: RNAcentral
UACGUAGGGGGCAAGCGUUGUCCGGAAUCAUUGGGCGUAAAGAGCGUGUAGGCGGCCCGAUGAGUCCGCUGUGAAAGUCCAGGGCUCAACCCUGGAAUGCCGGUGGAUACUGUCGGGCUCGAGUUCGGAAGAGGUGAGUGGAAUUCCUGGUGUAGCGGUGAAAUGCGUAGAUAUCUGGAGGAACACCGGUGGCGAAGGCGGCAUCCUGGACCGGUAUUGACGCUGAGGCGCGAAAGCUAGGGGAGCAAACGGG